AAAACAUCUCUCUUUGAAUUACUUAAAGAGUAGGCCCUGCCCGGUGCGGAGAAUCUAAACGGAAUCUUUUUUUAAAGUAGCGUAAUAAUUUGGCCCUUAAUUAGGGUCUGGAAUGAAGGGGUUGACGUGGGAAAGCUGUCUCUAUAGGAGAUUUUUAAAUUUUCUUUCUAGUGAAAAGCCUGGAAUUUGAUUAAAAGACGAGAAGACCCCGUCGAGCUUAAUUAAUUCUUUAAAUUAUUUAUAAAAUUAAGAGUAAAGGUUUGUUGGGGCAACAGUUGAGAAGUAAAACCUCUUAAACUUAACAUGGAUCCACUUUUUAGUGAUACUAGGAAAAAGUUACCGCGGGGAUAACAGCGCAAGAUAACCCGAGAGAUCUUAUCGAAGGUUGUAUUUGUGACCUCGAUGUUGGAUUAGAGCAGACCUCUUGGCGUAGAAGUUAAGAUAGGUGGGACUGUUCGUCCCUUAAUUCUCUACAUGAUCUGAGUUCAAACCGGAGA
RNAcentral lists this ribosomal RNA (497 nucleotides) under Clinocardium nuttallii. RNAcentral describes it as "partial 16S ribosomal RNA". It matches the Rfam family "Bacterial large subunit ribosomal RNA", at positions 1810 to 2622 of the family's 2925-position model. Lineage: Eukaryota; Metazoa; Mollusca; Bivalvia; Cardiida; Cardiidae. The record is from RNAcentral.